CAGUAGCCGCGGUAAAACAGAGGGUGCGAGCGUUAAUCGGAUUUACUGGGCGUAAAGCGUGCGCAGGCGGUUAUAUAAGACAGAUGUGAAAUCCCCGGGCUCAACCUGGGAACUGCAUUUGUGACUGUAUAGCUAGAGUACGGCAGAGGGGGAUGGAAUUCCGCGUGUAGCAGUGAAAUGCGUAGAUAUGCGGAGGAACACCGAUGGCGAAGGCAAUCCCCUGGGCCUGUACUGACGCUCAUGCACGAAAGCGUGGGGAGCAAACAGGAUUAGAUACCCCCGUAGUCCCUGUCUCUUAUAC
RNAcentral lists this ribosomal RNA (301 nucleotides) under uncultured bacterium. RNAcentral's name for it is "partial 16S ribosomal RNA". It matches the Rfam family "Bacterial small subunit ribosomal RNA", at positions 509 to 807 of the family's 1533-position model. The record is from RNAcentral.